UACGUAGGAUCCGAGCGUUGUCCGGAUUUAUUGGGCGUAAAGGGCGCGUAGGCGGUUCGGCAAGUCUUCAGUGAAAUCUCUCGGCUCAACUGAGAGUCUGCUGGGGAAACUGCCGGGCUUGAGUGUGGGAGAGGAGAGUGGAAUUCCUGGUGUAGCGGUGAAAUGCGUAGAUAUCAGGAGGAACACCUGAGGCGAAAGCGGCUCUCUGGACCACAACUGACGCUGAGGCGCGAAAGCUAGGGGAGCAAACAGG
RNAcentral lists this ribosomal RNA (253 nucleotides) under uncultured prokaryote. Its description in RNAcentral is "partial 16S ribosomal RNA". It matches the Rfam family "Bacterial small subunit ribosomal RNA", at positions 524 to 776 of the family's 1533-position model. The record is from RNAcentral.